This 427-nucleotide ribosomal RNA is filed under the name uncultured prokaryote. Its description in RNAcentral is "bacterial SSU rRNA". It matches the Rfam family "Bacterial small subunit ribosomal RNA", at positions 355 to 774 of the family's 1533-position model. The record is from RNAcentral.
UGGGGAAUUUUGCGCAAUGGGCGAGAGCCUGACGCAGCAACGCCGCGUGGGUGAUGAAGGUCUUCGGAUCGUAAAACCCUGUCGUCAGGGACGAAGGUUGCGAGUUUAAGAGAUGCGCAACUUGACGGUACCUGGAGAGGAAGCCCCGGCUAACUCUGUGCCAGCAGCCGCGGUAAUACAGAGGGGGCAAGCGUUAUUCGGAAUUAUUGGGCGUAAAGGGCGCGUAGGCGGUUUCUUAAGUGAGAUGUGUAAUCCCCGGGCUUAACCUGGGAACUGCAUCUCAUACUGGGAGGCUAGAGUACUGGAGAGGGUGGUAGAAUUCCACGUGUAGCGGUGAAAUGCGUAGAGAUGUGGAGGAAUACCAGUGGCGAAGGCGGCCACCUGGACAGUAACUGACGCUGAGGCGCGAAAGUGUGGGGAGCAAACA